GCAAGUCGAACGAUCGGCCGUUGGAAGCUUGCUUCCGGCGGUACGGAGUGGCGGACGGGUGAGUAACGCGUAGGUAACCUGCCCUACAGUUCAGGAUAGCUGGCCGAAAGGUCAAUUAAUACUGGAUGAGACAAAUUGCUGGUAUCAGCGAAUCGGGAAAGCCGCUUUCGGGCGGCGCUGUUGGAUGGGCUUGCGUACUAUUAGCUAGUUGGUGGGGUAAUGGCCUACCAAGGCUUUGAUGGUUAGCCGGCUUGAGAGAGUGAAC
Molecule: ribosomal RNA, 265 nt
Filed under: uncultured bacterium
Lineage: Bacteria
Description: partial 16S ribosomal RNA
Rfam family: Bacterial small subunit ribosomal RNA
Source: RNAcentral